AACGAACGCUGGCGGCAUGCCUAACACAUGCAAGUCGAACGAGACCUUCGGGUCUAGUGGCGCACGGGUGCGUAACGCGUGGGAACCUGCCCUUAGGUUCGGAAUAACUCCCCGAAAGGGGGGCUAAUACCGGAUAAUGUCUUCGGACCAAAGAUUUAUCGCCUUUGGAUGGGCCCGCGUUGGAUUCGCUAGUUGGUAGGGUCAAAGCCUACCAAGGCGACGAUCCAUAGCUGGUCUGAGAGGAUGAUCAGCCACACUGGGACUGAGACACGGCCCAGACUCCUACGGGAGGCAGCAGUGGGGAAUAUUGGACAAUGGGCGAAAGCCUGAUCCAGCAAUGCCGCGUGAGUGAUGAAGGCCUUAGGGUUGUAAAGCUCUUUUACCCGGGAUGAUAAUGACAGUACCGGGAGAAUAAGCUCCGGCUAACUCCGUG
Molecule: ribosomal RNA, 433 nt
Filed under: uncultured bacterium
Lineage: Bacteria
Description: partial 16S ribosomal RNA
Rfam family: Bacterial small subunit ribosomal RNA
Source: RNAcentral